This 328-nucleotide ribosomal RNA is filed under the name Serratia marcescens. RNAcentral's name for it is "bacterial SSU rRNA". It matches the Rfam family "Bacterial small subunit ribosomal RNA", at positions 105 to 436 of the family's 1533-position model. Lineage: Bacteria; Pseudomonadati; Pseudomonadota; Gammaproteobacteria; Enterobacterales; Yersiniaceae. The record is from RNAcentral.
GGUGAGUAAUGUCUGGGAAACUGCCUGAUGGAGGGGGAUAACUACUGGAAACGGUAGCUAAUACCGCAUAACGUCGCAAGACCAAAGAGGGGGACCUUCGGGCCUCUUGCCAUCAGAUGUGCCCAGAUGGGAUUAGCUAGUAGGUGGGGUAAUGGCUCACCUAGGCGACGAUCCCUAGCUGGUCUGAGAGGAUGACCAGCCACACUGGAACUGAGACACGGUCCAGACUCCUACGGGAGGCAGCAGUGGGGAAUAUUGCACAAUGGGCGCAAGCCUGAUGCAGCCAUGCCGCGUGUGUGAAGAAGGCCUUCGGGUUGUAAAGCACUUU